GCAAGCUGGUGUUAGUGUGACAUGAUGAUGUUGUGUAUUUUUGCAGUCGGAUCUUGAUGCAGUUGGAGCUUAUGGUGGAGGGGGCUCCUCCUCACAUAAGAAGUCAAAGAAAAAGAAGAAACAUAAGCACAAAGACAGAGAUAGAAACGGCUGUGAUGACGAAUACAGCGUCAUAUCUGACAGGAGCUCAAGACUCAGUGAUGAAAGCAGAGUGUCUCGCUCCAGGCUAGACCUCACGGUGCGUGCUGUCCACCUCUGAUCCAUGCCGCCAAACAGCCUUACGCUGGAACAGUAUGAGAGAUCUGCUUUUGGCUUGAUGAGCCAGCUUCACCUGCCGCGUGUUAAAACAAAAAAUGCAGAGGCAGAUUGAGCUGAUAACGAUAGGUUGUAAAACAGGAUGUCACAUGUUGCCACAAGGCAGGAAAAUCUUUUAGUCAUUUUAAUGGUCUUUGCAAACUGCAGUCAGAAAGAGAAAAACAUUUAAAUUUGUCUGAUCUACGUGUGCGCCUCGGGAACAUUUCCAGUGCUGUGGCAGGUUGUAGAUUAGAAAUUGUCCAAAUUUAACCUCAUUUACAUGUGUUUGAGUGUCAAACUGACCUGACCCUCAUGUCACUGCUGUGGGAGGACUGAUCAAGACCCAGAGGCAUUGCAACAGGAGCACAACUGCAAGCAUACCAGUGUUUUGUUCAGACCAGCACAGCUUUCACUCACAAUCCACCCUUCACUUCAGAUUUGUCUUUUCCCAGCUUGGUGAAAAUCAACUUAAAUGGGGUUGCUUUUUGGACAUCCUCAAAAAAUGAAAGCUUCA
Non-coding RNA from Neolamprologus brichardi, 808 nucleotides. The record is from RefSeq and is a predicted model, not a curated record. Lineage: Eukaryota; Metazoa; Chordata; Actinopteri; Cichliformes; Cichlidae.